GACGAGCGCUGGCGGCGCGCUUAACACAUGCAAGUCGAACGGAAAGGCCUGCUUUCCCUUGUGGAUUGCGGGUACUCGAGUGGCGAACGGGUGAGUAACACGUGAGUGAUCUGCCCCCAACUUGGGUAUAAGCCUGGGAAACUGGGUCUAAUUCCCGAUAGGACUGCAGGGUGGUGCCUGUGGUGGAAAACGAUUUUCUAGUGGUUGGGGAUGAGCUCGCGGCCUAUCAGCUUGUUGGUGGGGUAAUGGCCUACCAAGGCGGCGACGGGUAGCCGGCCUGAGAGGGUGGACGGCCACAUUGGGACUGAGAUACGGCCCAGACUCCUACGGGAGGCAGCAGUGGGGAAUAUUGGACAAUGGGCGGAAGCCUGAUGCAGCGACGCCGCGUGGGGGAUGACGGCCUUCGGGUUGUAAACUCCUUUCGACCGCGAGGAAGCCACCUGGUUGGAAGGGUGGUGACGGUAGUGGUAGAAGAAGCACCGGCUAACUACGUG
Molecule: ribosomal RNA, 494 nt
Filed under: uncultured bacterium
Lineage: Bacteria
Description: partial 16S ribosomal RNA
Rfam family: Bacterial small subunit ribosomal RNA
Source: RNAcentral